AGCUUUGCACAGUGGCAAUAUCGUAGUCAAUGAGAUUAAUCUGAGGUGCAAUUAUUGCUAAUUGAAAAAAAGAAAAUGAAUAUUAUUGUUUUGCCUGCCUAGGU
Molecule: small nuclear RNA, 104 nt
Organism: Rhineura floridana
Lineage: Eukaryota; Metazoa; Chordata; Lepidosauria; Squamata; Rhineuridae
Product: U4 spliceosomal RNA
Exons: 1
Source: RefSeq, a predicted model, not a curated record